GAUGAACGCUGGCGGCGUGCCUAAUACAUGCAAGUCGAGCGAACGGACGAGAAGCUUGCUUCUCUGAUGUUAGCGGCGGACGGGUGAGUAACACGUGGAUAACCUACCUAUAAGACUGGGAUAACUUCGGGAAACCGGAGCUAAUACCGGAUGAUAUUUUGAACCGCAUGGUUCAAAAGUGAAAGACGGUCUUGCUGUCACUUAUAGAUGGAUCCGCGCUGCAUUAGCUAGUUGGUAAGGUAACGGCUUACCAAGGCAACGAUGCAUAGCCGACCUGAGAGGGUGAUCGGCCACACUGGAACUGAGACACGGUCCAGACUCCUAAGGGAGGCAGCAGUAGGGAACCUUCCGCAAUGGGCGAAAGCCUGACGGAGCAACGCCGCGUGAGUGAUGAAGGUCUUCGGAUCGUAAAACUCUGUUAUUAGGGAAGAACAUAUGUGUAAGUAACUGUGCACAUCUUGACGGUACCUAAUCAGAAAGCCACGGCUAACUACGUG
RNAcentral lists this ribosomal RNA (497 nucleotides) under uncultured bacterium. RNAcentral's name for it is "partial 16S ribosomal RNA". It matches the Rfam family "Bacterial small subunit ribosomal RNA", at positions 28 to 507 of the family's 1533-position model. The record is from RNAcentral.